Molecule: ribosomal RNA, 335 nt
Filed under: Orthoptera sp. AMEBU8569
Lineage: Eukaryota; Metazoa; Arthropoda; Insecta; Orthoptera
Description: eukaryotic LSU rRNA
Rfam family: Eukaryotic large subunit ribosomal RNA
Source: RNAcentral
UUUAAGCAUAUUACUAAGCGGAGGAAAAGAAACUAACAAGGAUUCCCCCAGUAGCGGCGAGCGAACAGGGAAGAGUCCAGCACCGAACCCCGCAGGCUGCCGCCUGUCGUGGCAUGUGGUGUUUGGGAGGGUCCACUACCCCGACGCCUCGCGCCGAGUCCAAGUCCAACUUGAAUGAGGCCACGGCCCGUAGAGGGUGCCAGGCCCGUAGCGGCCGGUGCGAGCGUCGGCGGGACCUCUCCUUCGAGUCGGGUUGCUUGAGAGUGCAGCUCCAAGUGGGUGGUAAACUCCAUCUGAGACUAAAUAUGACCACGAGACCGAUAGCGAACAAGUAC